RNAcentral lists this ribosomal RNA (261 nucleotides) under Escherichia coli. Its description in RNAcentral is "partial 23S ribosomal RNA". It matches the Rfam family "Bacterial large subunit ribosomal RNA", at positions 1477 to 1735 of the family's 2925-position model. Lineage: Bacteria; Pseudomonadati; Pseudomonadota; Gammaproteobacteria; Enterobacterales; Enterobacteriaceae. The record is from RNAcentral.
GAAGGCUAUGUUGGCCGGGCGACGGUUGUCCCGGUUUAAGCGUGUAGGCUGGUUUUCCAGGCAAAUCCGGAAAAUCAAGGCUGAGGCGUGAUGACGAGGCACUACGGUGCUGAAGCAACAAAUGCCCUGCUUCCAGGAAAAGCCUCUAAGCAUCAGGUAACAUCAAAUCGUACCCCAAACCGACACAGGUGGUCAGGUAGAGAAUACCAAGGCGCUUGAGAGAACUCGGGUGAAGGAACUAGGCAAAAUGGUGCCGUAACU